UGUCAAGUAUUUUUAUUCAACAAAUAAAGUUUUAUUGACAUUCAUAGAAAAAAAACGAAUAAUAUUGGAAACUGAAAACGUUUCUAAACACUACGGAAUAUUAGUGUUUUCUUACCGUGUGUGUUUGUCUGGCCGAACAGUGAAUAGGUGCUUUUCGUUUUCAAUAAUACAAAUAAUAUCUCAUCAUAUUUGUGACUGUGAAAUCAAAAAGUUGUCUUUUUCUUGGUUCCGUUCGUGUGUUUUGUACAGUACUCGCCGAGAUUUCAGCAGUAGACAUAUCUUGUAUGUAUUAUACUUAAAGCAUAUUAAACCUUUGAAAAAUACAACACACGAUACCUGACCACCCAACCAUUUUGUGGAUGACUGGAUUAACUUCCACGGGAAAACCUACACAUCAAUACACAAUCAUCGGUCUAUAGAAGACCGAAAUACAGCUGGUGUCGUAUACAUUCCAAGGCUGAGUGGUCGAGGCUACCCACGUCCGUUGAUCAAGUUCUUUUUUCUAAGUUCCGACUGCGUACAAUACAGGUACUUUAUUCAUAAAAUUACAUUUUAAAAAUGUACAAGUGUGUGGUGUGUGGCAAUAACUCUAAGAACACCAAGGUCAAACGUUCUGAAGGUACUUAUCAUGGGCAUUCAAAGAAUCUCAGUCUUUUUGGCUUUCCUAAGGAUUUAACGCUGAGAAAAAAAUGGAUGGAAAAAUGCGGGAUAAAAAAGGAUCCCGCUGAAAUAA
This is a long non-coding RNA of Acyrthosiphon pisum (pea aphid), 733 nucleotides long. RefSeq lists it as uncharacterized. The record is from RefSeq and is a predicted model, not a curated record. The transcript is spliced from 3 exons. Lineage: Eukaryota; Metazoa; Arthropoda; Insecta; Hemiptera; Aphididae.